UUUCUAAAUGACUCCUCGUCUUCCUCAACCUGGAAUUAAGCCCGUUGAGUGAAGCUCUUAUGUAAAUAACAAUAUUUAUUACAAACUCAAUUUCUAUUUAUUAUAUACCCAUUACCACAUUCUUUAUUAUAUAUCCAUCGAUUCUCAAAGGAUACCCUGCAAUUCUCUUCAAAUCACCUUCUAAGAUGUUGAAGAAUAAUAUCUUGGUGCAUGAAAAGAAAGCAAAAUUGGAUAUCUUGCAUUCUUGCUCAAAGCCACCUUUACUUUGCUGAAAGAAAUUGCUCAUGUGUGUGCACUUUUGGAUAGUUAUAUUGAGUACAUUUCAGGUAAGUUAGUUUGGUUUAUUUUAAGCCUAAUUGAUUAUAAAAAAAUCUUGCUUCAUAUCUUCUCUAAUUCACCUUCAUUGUGUAGAUUUUUGUUGCUUUUAAAGCUUCUAAUCAGAAGAAUUUGCCAUAGUGUGAUGAAGGAGAAUUGCACAUUUGGUGAAUUACUUCAGCCUUAUCUAUGUUUUAUUGUAAACCAUGGACAUUUACAUUAUGUCUUUCCCUUGUUAAGGUUCUUAUGAUUAUGUAUUAUCUUUUGUAACUGUUAUGUUGGAUUUAAUCAUUGUUUGAUGUUCACUUGAGUUUAUGUAAUCUGGUUUUAAAACAUGGAAUGGCUUCAAG
Lupinus albus (white lupine) is the source of this 665-nucleotide non-coding RNA. The record is from the annotation of a GenBank genome assembly. Lineage: Eukaryota; Viridiplantae; Streptophyta; Magnoliopsida; Fabales; Fabaceae.